UCUCCUCAGCCAAUCGAGCGGCACUAUCCCAUGUUAAUUCCACCAAGAGACACACAAGGAGCGCUAGUUUAAUGUGCACAUCUGCCAGAGGGGACGUGCCCUGUCCUUUGUGGUUUGAUAAUUUCUUUCCUCUCCUUCUGUGAUCUGUGUUUCACUGCUAUCCUGUGUGGUGGGCAAGAGGAGACCGAACAUAGGACACUUCACUCCAAAAUAGAUCACUGACUGAGAGAAAAAAGGGAAAUUAGAGUACCUCAUUUGUUUCCAGAGAAUUGGACUGGACUUUGGGCAAUGACCAGCAUCAACGCUCCCGCGUGCCUGGUUGCGCGUAAUCAGUUCUACAGAAACCAUGGUCCGUCAACCUCAGGGAAACCUGCUUAUGAUCAUUGUGCAACACAACCAACACAAAGACAAGUAACGGUUUGGGUGACCACAUCCACUCAUCAAGGUCUACCUGUAACAAUGGCGCGAGGAUGGUGGAUCAGUGUGAUUUUGGGCAAUCCAUCGCCUACAACUAAACGCCUGAAUCCAACUGAAAGGGUGGUGAAGUAGGAGAGCUUUCCAUAAACCAAUGCAGUGGGAAUCCGUACAAACGGGGACAAUACUAAGUACCCUGUCCCCACUUUUUACAAGCGGGGGGGAGAAAAGAGAAAAGGCCUUUUAAAAAAAUCUAAUUUAACCUAAAUGUCCCCUCUGUUGCUGUUGCUUUGCCUCAGUUUCAAAACCCUGAGCCAGAUUCUUCAAUUGCAUGCACAUGCAACAGAGGAAAAGUAAACUGUAUUUUUUUUUUCUCCCUUUGGACUGUUGCCAUGCUGCUGCUGGGAACUUUUUUUUUCACGCACGUAUCCAAUCAGAGUCACUGAAGCCCUCCCGAGGGCCUCUCUCUUCCAUCCCAGGACCUGUUGCUAGGAAGAGGAGGGGCGUGUGGAGCAGAAAAGAGUCAGCACUUGAGAGAAGCGUAUGGCAUUCCCUCCGCUGAGCAGUGACCUGGAAACAAUGCGCUAGAAGCACAUCUUGUAAUGAAAUGGUGAAUCAUUUCAAAGCCUGCGGGCAAGGCUUCUUUGUACUGUUGUUUACGCGCCUCGUUUUUUGUUUUACGUGUUCUGUCGAAGAUGACUGAGCACUGCCUCUCUCAUUUAUAUAAGAAAUUCCAGGCAGCUGGCCUCCUCGUCGGGAGUUCAGUCUUGACCUGAAUUCCAUUGAACCGUGUGUGUUUGAAACCUUUUUUGCCAAUACAAAUUGGAUGAAUGUUGUACAACUUAAUGUAGCAAUUGCUGAUUUAUUUUUCAUAAACUUGUGUAAUUGCAUUA
This is a long non-coding RNA of Anguilla rostrata (American eel), 1307 nucleotides long. RefSeq lists it as uncharacterized. The transcript is spliced from 4 exons. The record is from RefSeq and is a predicted model, not a curated record. NCBI's taxonomy places the organism in Eukaryota, Metazoa, Chordata, Actinopteri, Anguilliformes, Anguillidae.